RNA transcript from Panicum hallii, 5408 nucleotides. It is a transcript of the gene named brassinosteroid LRR receptor kinase BRL3-like, with no coding region annotated. The transcript is spliced from 4 exons. The record is from RefSeq and is a predicted model, not a curated record. Lineage: Eukaryota; Viridiplantae; Streptophyta; Magnoliopsida; Poales; Poaceae.
CUGCCCCCGUCCCAAGAAUUUCGUCGUAAUCCUGCAAGCAACCCCGGGCUUCUCGUGCGCUUCCGCCCAAUUUUCCGGCUAAUCGCCGUCAGACAGCGGCAAAGCAGGUCCAAGUUUCUUUCUGUCCGGCCGGAUAGCAGCUUGCUUGGGCUUGCACUCGCUUACUUGAGCACACGACGAACAGUGUUCUUCUUCGACUGCGACCGAGAGAAAAUUCCUCUUCUUUCCCGCCUAUGAAAUGCUCCCUUCUUGAUGCGGUUUGCGGCCGGGAGGAAGCUGUUGAGCCCAGCGAGGCGCACUCGAGUUCGUUCGGAAUUAAUCCCCUUCCGAUGUGAGGUCGCGCUGUGCGCCAAUCGGUCCUCUUCUUCCCCAGCCAUUCCGACACCAAGAAGCAGCAGCAUCCAUGGGCGCCGCUCGCACGGUGGCGCCGCUCGCUGUGCUCCUGCUGCAGCUUCUGCUUCACCUGAUGGGAGCAGGUGCUGCUGAGGCCGACGACGAGGCCGCGGCGCUGCUUGCGUUCAAGCGCGCGUCCGUGGCCAACGACCCGCACGGCGCGCUCGCGGGCUGGCGCGAGGCCAACUCCACCUCCGCCUCCGGCUCGCCGUGCGCGUGGGCCGGCGUCUCGUGCGCGGACGGCCGCGUCCGCGAGCUCAACCUCAGCGGCAUGUCCCUCGACGGCCGGCUCAGGCUGGACGCGCUGCUCGCGCUCCCGGCGCUCCAGAGCCUCGACCUCCGCCGCAACGCAUUCCACGGCAAUCUCGCCGCCCACCACACCGCGCAGCCGCCGCGGACACCGUCGCUGUGCGCGCUGUUGCAAGUGGACCUGUCGUCGAACGCCUUGAACGGAACGCUGCCCCGGGCGUUCUUGAAGUCCUGCGCCGGCAUGCAGUCCCUGAAUUUGUCCAGGAACAACCUUACCGGCGGGGGCUUCCCGUUCCCACCGUCGCUGAGCACCCUGGACAUGUCCAGGAACAUGCUUUCAGACGCCGGCUUGCUCAACUACUCCCUGACCGGCUGCCAUGGUAUUCAGUACCUCAAUCUCUCGUCCAACCAGUUCACAGGAGGCCUGCCGGAGUUUGCACAGUGCAGCCAAGUUUCUAUUCUUGAUUUGUCAGGGAACCUUAUGUCCGGCACCCUCCCUGGCAGGCUUUUGACCACGGCGUCAGCAAAUUUGACACACUUGAGCAUUGCAGGGAAUAACAUCUCUGGGGACAUCUCCAGGUAUGAUUUUGGUGGUUGCACAAACCUCACCGUGCUCGAUUGGUCAUACAAUAGGUUGAGUGGCAUGGGGUUGCCACUGACUCUUGAUAACUGCCACCGCUUGGAGACACUUGACAUGUCCGGGAACAAGCUUCUUUCUGGUACAAUACCAGUGUUCUUGGGAGGCUUCCAACAAUUGAAGAAACUCGCACUAGCUGGGAACAACUUCACUGGGGAAAUUCCAGAUGAGCUGAGCCUCUUGUGCGGAACGCUGGUUGAACUAGACUUAUCAAGCAACCAACUGACUGGCGGUUUGCCUGCAAGCUUCUCAAAAUGCAGAUCACUUAAGCUGCUUGACCUUGGCAACAACCAGCUUUCUGGGGACUUUGUGGUUACAGUCAUCAGCAAAAUCUCCUCCCUACGGGUGCUGCGGCUGCCAUUCAACAAUAUCACAGGGACAAAUCCACUGCCCACACUAGCAGCUGAGUGCCCUUUACUUGAAGUUAUUGAUCUUGGGUCUAAUUUGCUUGAUGGGGAGAUCAUGCCAAACUUGUGCUCAUCAUUGCCAUCACUACGAAAGCUCAUCCUCCCGAACAAUUACCUCAAUGGAACUGUGCCACCGUCACUCAGCAAUUGCAGCAAUCUAGAGUCAAUUGACCUCAGUUUCAACCUUUUACACGGUCAGAUUCCACCAGAAGUAUUAUUCCUUCCUAAGCUUAUUGAUCUGGUCAUGUGGGCAAACAAUCUUUCAGGCGAAAUACCAGACAAGCUAUGCUCCAAUAGCACUACUCUGGAGACAUUGGUGAUAAGUUACAACAGCUUCACUGGAGGCAUCCCUCCAUCCAUUACCAGAUGUGUGAAUCUCAUAUGGGUAUCACUUGCUGCUAACAAUCUGACUGGGAGUGUGCCCUCAGGCUUUGGCAACCUCCAGAAGCUUGCCAUUCUACAGCUGCACAAGAAUUCACUCUCUGGCCCAGUGCCAGCAGAAUUUGGCAGCUGCAGCAACCUCAUCUGGCUUGAUCUCAACAGCAAUAACUUCUCUGGUACAAUACCAACGCAGUUAGCAGCACAGGCAGGACUUAUCACCGGAGGUAUUGUUUCUGGGAAGCAAUUUGCAUUCCUCAGGAAUGAGGCUGGCAACAUCUGCCCUGGUGCUGGAGUGCUGUUCGAGUUCCUUGAUAUCCGUCCAGAGCGGCUGGCCCAGUUCCCAACGGUGCACUCAUGUGGCUCCACAAGGAUAUACACCGGAAUGACAGUAUACAUGUUCAAUAAAAAUGGAAGCAUGAUCUUCCUUGAUCUCUCGUACAACAGCCUUACAGGUACAAUUCCGGCAAGCUUGGGGAACAUGACAUAUCUUAAUGUCCUUAACUUGGGACAUAAUGAUCUUACCGGUGCAAUUCCAGAUGCAUUCACUGGGCUGAAGCUGAUUGGUGCACUAGACCUCUCACACAACCACCUAACCGGUGUCAUCCCCGCAGGAUUUGGGUCUUUAAAUUUCCUUGAUGACUUCGAUGUCUCUAACAACAACCUUACUGGAGAAAUCCCAACAUCUGGACAGAUCAUUACAUUUCCAGCAUCCCGCUUUGGAAACAACUCUGGCCUCUGUGGCAUUCCCUUGAAUCCUUGCACGCAUAAUGCCAGCACAGGAGAUAGUUCCCAACAUUCCCCAAACGGGCAGAGAAAAUUUCUCGAAGAAUUUGUGCUCCUUGCUGUGGCACUCUUAGUGCUCAUAAUGGCCACCCUAGUGGUCAUUCUAUACAAACUCAGGAGGCCCUGUGAAAGCAAAACUGAAGAGAUUCAAACUGGGUAUAGCGACAGCCUCCCAUCAUCCACCAGUAUAAGCUGGAAGAUUUCUGGUUCCCGCGAGCCACUAAGCAUCAAUUUGGCGGUAUUUGAGAAUCCACUGAGGAAGCUGACAUAUUCCCACCUACAUGAGGCCACCAAUGGCUUCAGUUCAGAGGCUUGUAUUGGCACAGGAGGAUUUGGUGAGGUUUACAAGGCUAAGCUCAAGGAUGGCAGUGUUGUGGCUGUCAAGAAGCUGAUGUAUUUUACAGGCCAGGGUGACCGGGAGUUCACUGCAGAGAUGGAAACAAUUGGCAAGAUCAAACAUCGCAACCUUGUGCCAUUGCUAGGCUACUGCAAAAUUGGUGAUGAGCGUCUCCUUGUGUAUGAGUAUAUGAAGAAUGGCAGCUUGGAUGUCAUGCUCCAUGAAAAGGCCAAAAUUGAUGUGAAUCUUGAUUGGAUUACAAGGAAAAAGAUUGCAGUCGGUUCGGCAAGAGGAUUAGCGUUCCUCCACCACAGUUGCGUCCCACACAUCAUACACCGGGACAUGAAAUCGAGCAACGUGCUGCUUGAUGAUAACCUUGAUGCCUAUGUAUCGGAUUUUGGGAUGGCACGGCUUGUCAAUGCACUUGACUCGCAUCUGACUGUGAGCAAGCUCUUAGGAACACCUGGAUAUGUGGCACCUGAAUACUUCCAGUCUAUUAUCUGCACAACCAAGGGUGACGUCUACAGCUAUGGUGUUGUGCUUUUGGAGCUUCUCUCAGGGAAGAAACCAAUCGAUCCAACAGAAUUUGGUGACAGUAACCUUGUUGACUGGGCAAAACAGAUGGUUAAGGAGGACCGAUGCAACGAGAUAUUUGAUCCUAUAUUGACUGAUACAAAAUCCUGUGAAUUGGAAUUGUAUCAGUAUCUGAAGAUUGCUUGCCAGUGCUUGGAUGAUCAUCCUAACCGCAGACCUACCAUGAUUCAGGUUAUGGCAAUGUUCAAAGAGUUACAGAUUGACUCAGACAACAACUUCUUGGAUGGCUUCUCAAUCGAUUCAGCAAAUAUAGAGGAAUCAUCUGAGAAAUCAGUGUAAAUAUUAUUGAUUCAACGAGAUUUUGAUUCACUAGAUUGAUAUAUUAGCUUUGUCACUUUAACUCACGUUAACAGAAAAGAAAGUAGCUACUGUGGAAGGGAAAAAAUUGUAAUUUUGUUUUCGGUCACAUAAUACACAACAGCUUGAACAGAGACACGAUUAUAGAGUUCUUUCACAAGGACACCAGUUUGGUAGAAGAGAUGGUAUACAAAUCUUGGAGCUCAGUUCCUUUCCUUGUACAUCCCUCUUCCUUGCUGAGAAAGUAAAACAGUACAAUUUUUUCCAGUUAUAUGUGUUAUUCAUGAUUACCUUUCAGUAAAUUUUCUGAACAUAUUUGGUUUGUGUCAUUCUGAAUAAUUGUUACCUUGACAAAAACUGAGCAGCUGAAAGAUUCUUGGAGUUAUCGUGUCAUUAGUCUAGGGUUUACUCUUUUAACCAUAGGUAUUCUUUGUGGAGCAGUAUGGGCUAAUGAAGCAUGGGGAUCCUAUUGGAAUGGGGAUCCUAAGGAAACUUGGGCAUUUAUUACCUGGACCAUAUUUGUAAUAUAUUUACAUAGUAGAACAAAUCCAAAUUGGAAAGGUACAAAUUCCGCACUUGUAGCUUCCGAUAGGAUUUCUUAUAAUUUGGAUCUGCUAUUUUGGUAUCAAUCUGUUAGGAAUAGGUUUUCAUAGUUAUGGUUCAUUUACAUUACCAUCUAACUUGUUCCGUUUGAUUAUGAGCACGUCAUAAUACGUCAUUUGUGCACGUCAUUUGCCUGAUGUACUAACUUGUUGUAGAACCUUCCUCAUAAAACGUCUUGUAGCACUAGUUCCUGGGAUCAGAUUGUUGAUUAUGAGCGGAAGCUGCUGGCAAAGUGAGCAACAGAAGAAACAGGAUGCAGUUAUGUAUUUUGGUAACAAUUGAUCCAUUCUCCUUGUCUAUUUCUCUGUAGUGCAGGACUUGAAUUUGUUCCGUUUGAUCAUUGGAACAAGCAUACAGUUACAUUUCAGAAUUUGCCGCUUAGAGCAUCCUCAAAGGCUAGAGACGUGUGACAAAUAAAUUCUAUUUGCUGAAGAUCUUAUGAUGCUCGUUCAUACCUGGCUCUCCCCUAUUUUCAUCAAAGGGUGAUCAAAUGUCACUUUCAGAGCAGCACGCAUGUUUCAGGUAAACGGAUUUGGUGUUAGGUCAGCUAAGAUACGUUCCUUGACAUGCCGUUCUUCGCACGCGCGUGCAGAUGUGUGACAUCCAUCAGGAUUGGAUUGGGUCGGAUCUCGUCCUAAACAAGUGACGAGUUGGUUGAUGGCACGAGUUGUUGGUCAAGCACGGCAUCUGAUCCUACGCUCCUGCACGGCUACGUGGCACCAGUUAG